Molecule: ribosomal RNA, 468 nt
Filed under: uncultured bacterium
Lineage: Bacteria
Description: partial 16S ribosomal RNA
Rfam family: Bacterial small subunit ribosomal RNA
Source: RNAcentral
GACGAACGCUGGCGGCGUGCUUAACACAUGCAAGUCGAACGGAAAGGCCCUGCUUUUGUGGGGUGCUCGAGUGGCGAACGGGUGAGUAACACGUGAGUAACCUGCCCUUGACUUUGGGAUAACUUCAGGAAACUGGGGCUAAUACCGGAUAGGAGCUCCUGCUGCAUGGUGGGGGUUGGAAAGAUUCGGCGGUUGGGGAUGGACUCGAGGCUUAUCAGCUUGUUGGUGGGGUUGUGGCUUACCAAGGCUUUGACGGGUAGCCGGCCUGGGAGGGUGACCGGCCACAUUGGGACUGAGAUACGGCCCAGACUCCUACGGGAGGCAGCAGUGGGGAAUAUUGCACAAUGGGCGGAAGCCUGAUGCAGCAACGCCGCGUGCGGGAUGACGGCCUUCGGGUUGUAAACCGCUUUCGCCUGUGACGAAGCGUGAGUGACGGUAAUGGGUAAAGAAGCACCGGCUAACUACGUG